This 559-nucleotide long non-coding RNA is filed under the name Citrus sinensis (sweet orange). RNAcentral describes it as "long non-coding RNA (CSIN_LNC002356)". The record is from RNAcentral. Lineage: Eukaryota; Viridiplantae; Streptophyta; Magnoliopsida; Sapindales; Rutaceae.
CCUAAACCACACAGAGAGAUGGAGGUGUGAAGAAAGCGCCAAAACAUUGCCUGAAUCAUAUGCCAUGAAUGAAGAAAAUGCACCACACAGGUAACUUUGCCUAUAUACUACCCUUCCUCAAAAAAAUUGGAAACAGUAAUAGAGAAUAUUGAACAUUUUACAGCAGAAAGAAUUGAAAUACUUGGCUAAUCGAAGGGAUGUCCUUUACAAUAAGACCAACCUUAGACAAUCCUCCUUGCAUCUGAGAGCUGUUUUUGAAGGAAUGAUUCGCAAUCUCCACAGAAGAGAGAAAAACGAAUAUUAAAGGCAUUUUCAAAUGCCACAAUUGCAGCUUCAAAAGAAGAAUUAAACUACAUCAGGCAACCACAAUCACAUAAUUUAUCAUACCCGGCAAUUCACACCAUUCUUGUCCUAUUACCUUUCAGCCAUCAAUCUAUUCUCAGAAGAAAAAAAAGAUGUUUGAAAGUCACAUUUGUUUAUGGACCUUCUACCACCUCUUAUCAGGACUCCACCACAUGAAGUUGAUAUUCCAAAAAGUAGUCCACAGGAUUACAGAAUU